UCGGAUAUGGUGUAACGGCUAACAUUGCCGCCUCUCAUUCUCUCAUUCUCUGUCUCGCGGCAGCUCGGGGUUCGAUUCCCCGUAUCCGAA
Molecule: non-coding RNA, 90 nt
Organism: Arthromyces matolae
Lineage: Eukaryota; Fungi; Basidiomycota; Agaricomycetes; Agaricales; Lyophyllaceae
Source: the annotation of a GenBank genome assembly